RNAcentral lists this small nuclear RNA (138 nucleotides) under Neogale vison (American mink). Its description in RNAcentral is "Neovison vison (American mink) U1 spliceosomal RNA (ENSNVIG00000023291.1)". It matches the Rfam family "U1 spliceosomal RNA", at positions 26 to 166 of the family's 166-position model. Rfam says of the family: U1 is a small nuclear RNA (snRNA) component of the spliceosome (involved in pre-mRNA splicing). Lineage: Eukaryota; Metazoa; Chordata; Mammalia; Carnivora; Mustelidae. The record is from RNAcentral.
AUACUCACAAAGGUGGUUUUCCCAGGGCAAGGCUUAUCCAUUGCACUCCAGAUGUGCUAACCCCCAUGAUUUCCCCCAAAUGUGGGGAAUUCUGCAGCAUCAUUUGUGGUAGUGGGAGACUGCAUUUGUACUUUCCUC